CGUUGUCGUCCAUGCACAAGGGUCUUGGCAAUGUUAACGCAAGUGGGGGAUUAGUAAAAUGAAGGACUGCAAUGUUUUCAGGCACCAAAUCUCUGUAUUUCUGUCCGUUUAUGUUACCCAGCAGAAUAUGAAAACCCAGCUUAUCACGUUAUAAGAAGCAACCCCGUACUGGAACACCACCAGCACUCAAUGCAGUCCUUGUGCAAACAUUGUUAUAGUCAUAGGCCGUUUUGUUUCCCGCGAAAUUCGUAUUAUGGCGUCUACUGGCAGUAAAAGAAACUGACUCGCAUCUGAUCAAUGAGUGUUUGGUCAUCUUUUUAUGUUCAAGCAUAGAUAGUCAUUAUGGCAUUGAAACCUGACGGUAGAGUGCCUGCCUGUAGGUCUCUAUACACCACGACAUACUCUUCGAUUGCCUCUAUGAAGUCGACGGACAAAUUUAGGAACACUAACGCGACCACCUGGAGAAACAGGGUAUUUGUAAACG
RNAcentral lists this long non-coding RNA (484 nucleotides) under Mytilus galloprovincialis (Mediterranean mussel). The record is from RNAcentral. Lineage: Eukaryota; Metazoa; Mollusca; Bivalvia; Mytilida; Mytilidae.